RNAcentral lists this long non-coding RNA (632 nucleotides) under Lonchura striata (white-rumped munia). RNAcentral describes it as "domestica (Bengalese finch) lncRNA (ENSLSDG00000007607.1)". Lineage: Eukaryota; Metazoa; Chordata; Aves; Passeriformes; Estrildidae. The record is from RNAcentral.
CACAUGGCCCCGCUCGUCGCCGGGACAGCACCCGUGCCGUGCCCGUCCCCGUGCCCGUGCCGUGCCCGUCCCCGUGCCCGUGCCGCGGUGCCGCGGGGGCUGCAGCUCCGCGCAGCAGCGAAUCCUCCCGCAGAGAAGAGAGAGUAAAAAUAGCAGCGGGUUGAGGGAAGAAGAGCUCGCCCCCCGCCAGCGGGCAGCGGCGAGGAGCCUGAGCGCACCGCGGAGCCCGCGGCGCGGCGUCACGGGGGCAGAGGGGACAAGGUGCCACGGGGACAGGACCCUCCUGGGACAGGACACCGCAGGGACAGGGCCUGGCGGGGACAAACACACCGUGGGGACGAUCGCACGGCCCAAGGCUGGCAGGACAGGGGUGGCCGCGUCCCCAGCACGACGAGGAGGAGGAGGAAGAAGAGGAGGAGGAGUGGCACCCCUGAACCCCCAACGGGGCGGGCAGAGGGCCGCAACCCCCCCAACCCCCUCCGGCCCCCGCAACCCCCGGGGCCCCCGGGGCAAAAGGCAACGCCCAAGCCGGCCGGGCCAAGCCGGCAACGCCACCCGCGGCUGGCACGGCCGCGUGGGCCGGGCAGCGACUCGGGGGCUUUGGCACAGGGCGGCCGGAGCGGAGCCAGCGG